Molecule: unclassified non-coding RNA, 411 nt
Filed under: Hevea brasiliensis (rubber tree)
Lineage: Eukaryota; Viridiplantae; Streptophyta; Magnoliopsida; Malpighiales; Euphorbiaceae
Source: RNAcentral
UUUUCCGUCAAAACAUAAAUCAUGUGUGGUGGUUCUAUAAUCUCCGAUUACAUAGACCCUAGCCGGACUUCUCGCCGGCUCACCGCCGAGUUUCUAUGGGGUCGUUUCGAUCUCGGUAAGAAGCAAAAAAAUCCCAACAAUUAUCACUCUAAAGCUAAGCAUUUGCGAUCUGAAGUUGUUGACGACUUUGAAGCCGAUUUUCAGGACUUCAAAGAGUUAUCCGAUGAUGAGGAUGUUCAAGUCGAUGUCAAGCCAUUUGCCUUCUCUGCUUCCAAACACUCUACUGGUUCCAAAUCUUUGAAAACUGUUGAUUCAGACAAGGAUGCUGCUGCUGAUAAAUCCUCUAAGAGAAAGAGGAAGAAUCAAUAUAGAGGGAUCAGACAGAGACCUUGGGGUAAGUGGGCAGCUGAA